Molecule: RNA transcript, 5941 nt
Organism: Parus major (Great Tit)
Lineage: Eukaryota; Metazoa; Chordata; Aves; Passeriformes; Paridae
Gene: KCNT1
Gene name: potassium sodium-activated channel subfamily T member 1
Exons: 31
Source: RefSeq, a predicted model, not a curated record
GCCCCCGGCAGCUCGGGGCUCCCAUGCUCUGCCCCGCCUCGCCGCUCCGGGCCCCCGCGCCGCCGCGCCGAUGCCGUUCUCGGGCGAGGAGCGGAGCCUCCAGGGGAUCUACAAACCGGCGGGGCCGGCCGAGGGGCGGCCGGUCUGCUCCGAGUGCUACACCAACAGCUCCUUCGUCUACGACGAUGGCAGCGCCCACAGGCUCUCGUCGCCCGGCGGCUGCGGCGGCGGGGACGGCGGCGGGAGCCGCAAGAGCGGGGUCAUUCUGGACAUCGCCUCCCUGAAGAUGACGGAGCUGGAGUCCGAGGUGCUGCCUCUGCCGCCUCGGUACCGCUUCCGCGAUCUGCUGCUGGGGGACCAGUCCUUCCAGAGCGACGACAGGGUGCAGGUCGAGUUCUACGUGAAUGAGAACACCUUCAAGGAGCGGCUGAAGCUGUUCUUCAUCAAAAACCAGCGAUCCAGCCUGAGGAUUCGGCUCUUCAACUUCUCCCUGAAGCUGCUCACGUGCCUCCUGUACAUCGUGCGUGUCCUGCUCGACAACCCCGAGGAGGGCAUCGGCUGCUGGGAAUGCGAAAAGCAGAAUUACACAGCGUUCAACCAGUCCACGAACAUAAACUGGUCCCACAUCUUUUGGGUGGACAGAAAAACCCCGCUGUGGGCAGUGCAGGUCAGCAUCGCUCUCAUCAGCUUCCUGGAGACCAUGCUGCUCAUCUAUCUCAGCUACAAGGGGAACAUCUGGGAACAGAUUUUUCGCAUUUCCUUCAUCCUGGAGAUGAUCAACACGGUGCCAUUCAUCAUCACGAUAUUCUGGCCUCCUUUGCGGAAUUUGUUCAUUCCUGUGUUUCUGAACUGCUGGCUGGCCAAGUACGCCCUGGAGAACAUGAUUAACGAUCUGCACCGAGCCAUCCAAAGGACGCAGUCAGCGAUGUUUAACCAGGUGCUCAUCCUGAUCUGCACCCUCCUGUGUCUCGUUUUCACGGGGACCUGUGGCAUCCAGCAUUUAGAAAGAGCAGGUGAGAAGCUCUCCCUCUUCAAGUCCUUCUAUUUCUGCAUCGUCACCUUUUCCACCGUGGGCUACGGAGAUGUGACACCAAAGAUUUGGCCUUCCCAGCUCCUCGUGGUGAUCAUGAUCUGCGUGGCCCUGGUGGUGCUGCCGCUGCAGUUCGAGGAGCUCGUCUACCUGUGGAUGGAGCGGCAGAAGUCGGGAGGGAACUACAGCCGGCACCGCGCGCAGACGGAGAAGCACGUCGUCCUCUGCGUCAGCUCCCUCAAGAUCGACCUCCUCAUGGACUUCCUCAACGAGUUCUACGCCCACCCACGCCUGCAGGAUUACUACGUGGUGAUCCUGUGCCCGACAGAGAUGGACAUCCAGGUGCGGCGCGUGCUGCAGAUCCCGCUGUGGUCACAGCGCGUCAUUUACCUCCAGGGCUCCGCGCUCAAGGACCAGGACCUCAUGAGAGCCAAGAUGGACAAUGGAGAAGCUUGCUUCAUUCUCAGCAGCCGAAACGAGGUGGACAGAACAGCGGCGGACCACCAGACCAUCCUGAGGGCCUGGGCUGUCAAAGACUUUGCUCCAAAUUGUCCUCUCUACGUUCAGAUCCUAAAGCCAGAAAAUAAAUUUCAUGUCAAGUUUGCUGAUCACGUUGUGUGUGAAGAGGAGUGCAAAUACGCCAUGCUGGCCCUGAACUGUGUCUGCCCUGCCACCUCCACCCUCAUCACGCUGCUGGUGCACACCUCCCGUGGCCAGGAGGGCCAGGAGUCCCCGGAGCAGUGGCAGCGGAUGUACGGGCGCUGCUCGGGCAAUGAGGUCUAUCACAUCCGCAUGGGAGACAGCAAAUUCUUCAUGGAGUACGAGGGGAAGAGCUUCACCUACGCAGCCUUCCACGCACACAAGAAGUACGGUGUCUGCCUGAUCGGCAUCCGGAGGGAGGAGAACAAAAGCAUCCUGCUGAACCCCGGCCCGAGGCACAUCAUGGCAGCGUCGGACACCUGCUUCUACAUCAACAUCACCAAGGAGGAGAACUCUGCCUUCAUCUUCAAGCAGGAGGAGAAGCAGAAGAAGAAGGGCUUUGCGGGCAGGGGCAGCUACGACGGCCCCUCGCGCCUGCCCGUGCACAGCAUCAUCGCCAGCAUGGGUACAGUGGCCAUGGACCUGCAGAACACCGAGUGCCGCCCUGCCAACAGCAGCAAACUGGCGCUGCCGGCCGAGAACGGCUCGGGCACGCGCCGGCCCAGCAUCGCCCCCGUCCUGGAGCUGGCUGACACCUCGUCCCUGCUGCCCUGUGACCUCCUCAGUGACCAGUCCGAGGACGAGAUGACGCAGUCAGAUGAGGAGGGCUCGGCGGUUGUGGAGUAUGUGAAGGGCUACCCCCCAAACUCGCCCUAUAUCGGGAGCUCCCCGACCCUGUGCCACCUUCUGCCCGAGAAAGCCCCGUUCUGCUGCCUGAGGCUGGACAAGGGCUGCAAACACAACAGCUUCGAGGACGCCAAAGCCUACGGGUUCAAGAACAAACUGAUCAUCGUUUCUGCAGAGACAGCUGGCAAUGGCCUCUACAACUUCAUCGUCCCGCUGCGGGCGUACUACCGCUCCCGCAAGGAGCUCAACCCCAUCGUGCUGCUGCUGGACAACAAGCCUGAGCACCACUUUCUGGAGGCCAUCUGCUGUUUCCCCAUGGUUUACUACAUGGAGGGCACCAUUGACAACCUGGACAGUUUGCUGCAGUGUGGCAUCAUCUACGCUGACAACCUGGUGGUGGUGGACAAGGAGAGCACCAUGAGUGCCGAGGAGGACUACAUGGCCGAUGCCAAGACGAUUGUCAACGUCCAGACCAUGUUCAGGCUCUUCCCCAGCCUCAGCAUUAUCACAGAGCUGACCCACCCCUCCAACAUGAGAUUCAUGCAGUUCAGAGCAAAGGACAGUUACUCUCUGGCCCUUUCCAAGCUAGAAAAGAGAGAGCGAGAGAAUGGCUCCAACCUGGCCUUCAUGUUCCGGCUGCCCUUUGCAGCAGGGAGGGUCUUCAGCAUCAGCAUGUUGGACACGCUGCUCUACCAGUCAUUCGUCAAGGAUUACAUGAUCACCAUCACUCGGCUGCUGCUGGGCCUCGACACCACGCCGGGCUCCGGGUACCUCUGUGCGAUGAAGAUCACGGAGGAUGACCUGUGGAUCCGGACGUACGGCCGCCUCUUCCAGAAGCUCUGCUCCUCCAGUGCCGAGAUUCCCAUCGGCAUCUACAGGACGGAGUCGCACAUGUUCGCAACCUCCGAGCCCCACGACAUCAGAGCGCAGUCACAGAUCUCAAUCAAUGUUGAGGACUGCGAGGACACGAAGGACGUCAAGGAGCACUGGGGCAUCAAGACGAGCCACCACAGGAACUCGUGUUCCAGCGACCAGUCGGAGCACCCGCUGCUGAGGCGCAAGAGCAUGCAGUGGGCACGGCGGCUCAGCAGGAAGGGCAACAAGCACUCCAGCAAGACGGCCGAGUGGAUCAGCCAGCAGCGCCUCAGCCUGUACCGGCGCUCCGAGCGCCAGGAGCUGUCCGAGCUGGUCAAAAACCGUAUGAAGCACCUGGGCUUGCCCACCACGGGGUACGAGGAUGUAGCAAAUUUAACAGCCAGUGAUGUGAUGAAUCGGGUAAACCUGGGAUAUUUGCAAGGUAAUUCCCUUUCCCUGGGAGUCCCGCGUGACUCAUGGCGUGCAGCGUACAACAAGAUCAUGCCAGCUAAGCCCAAACCUCACCCUUGCCAGUUUUCACCUUAGAUCCCCGAGCUUUCAGCACUAAUUUGUUGGGUGGCAUUGGAAAACCAGUCAGUGUCCUGUGGUGUUGGUGCAAAUGUAGGGCUCUGCCUAAUCAGGGAGACAGAAACCUCAGAAACCUUUUUUAGCUGCAUUCCUACAGGGAAAUCACAGCCCUUGGCUUUCAUUAACAAAACCCUCCCUCCAGGGCUCUGCGAGGUGGUUUUGGGCUGUACAGCCAGAGACAGCUUGAGGAGGGGACAGGGAGGGGGACGAGUGCACCAAGGCUGCCUGUGCAUGUUGUGAUGAGAUGCUGGAGCUCCUGCUGGGUCAGCCACAGCCCAGGGCAAGGCACUGCUUUAAAAAUCCCUUUGCACCCCACGGUUUGCCUUCCUGGACCCCUCUCCAGCAUUAGAAGACCCCAUUUUCUGACCAGGGGUGCUGGGCUCAGCCCGAGGCAGCAAUGGCAGCCACAGGGGCCACUGGUGCUGCAGCUGCCCUGGGAACCCUGUGGGGCUCUGUGGGACCUGCCAGGGUUUCCCAUCUUUUUUUCACCUUUUCACCACGGUGGAACAUGCCCUGGAAAGGCUCCUUUUUGCUGCAGCAGCCCCAAGGUUACCAAGGGCCCAUCCCAGCUUCAUUUUUGGCUUCACUAGCCCAGGCUUAAGGUGAAACGUUGGCAUUUUCCUUCAAAGUGUGUUCUCCAUCAGACAGCCCCAGCUGGGGCUCAUGGAAGCCCCAGGCCAGCAGAGUAUAUUGCCCGGGGUGGUGGAGGUGCAGCAAUAUACUCGGUGUGCAGGGCUGCUUGGGGUCAGGAAACUUCCAUGGGGCAGGGAAAGCUGCCCAGAGCCCGUCCCCACCUCCUGUCACGUCAAACCCCGUGUGUCCCGUCGGGUCCCAGGGUCUGUGUGCCGCCCCUGCCCCAGCAUUGCCACCCCCAUCCCUGUCUCCCUGUAAGGCUGAGCACUGGGAUGGCCAAAACUCCCCGGUGGCUCCGGGACCCUGGCACAGGCUGGGGGUCCCAGGCAGCAUCACCCCGAGGGUCCCCCCGGCUCUGCAGCACCUCCUGAGGUCCCAGAGGUGCCAGGGAUGUGUCUGGGCAGCGAAACAAAGGUCUGGCGUCCCCCUGCAAGCACCGCUGGCCCCGGGGAUGCCCCUGGGCUCACCCGGGGAUGCCCUGGCAGAGGCAGCUCGGGAGGAAUCUGCUCACACUCCUGUGCCGGGUGGCUGUGCUGCUGGAGCUGCAGCUGAGGGCUGGACAGAAGCAGUUUUGCCCCGUGCAGGGGUGAUGUGCACGGUGAUGUUGUCAUUGCUGUGGCAGGAGCCCCUGGCCGUGCCCACCAUGGGGCAGGGCAGCCUCUGGCUGGGGGAUCCCCUAGGCCAGGCAGGGGGACAGCAGGGACAGGGUGCUGGGAGCAGCAGGACAGGCCACAGGGAGCGGCCCCCAGCCUGGAGUUAAUCCCAUCCCAGAGGCCGGGUCCUGCUCCUGCUGCCCCCAAAGCAGCUCCAUUUGCUCCAUUUGCUCCUCAGAGGGGCCUUUCCAAAAGCCUGGGGAGGUGUCCCAGUGACAAGCCUUGCAGCGAGCUGGUGUCCCGCCGUGCUCCUCAUGCUGCCCCGGUGUCCGUCUGUCCGUCCCCUCUCCGCCCUGUCCAUCCACCCCCCAUCAGCCCGUCUGGAAAUGGUGUCACCUGUGGCAGCUUCCACCCCUCCCCGGCGCCCGCAGCCUCGCACCCCCAUCCAUUUCACCAUGAUCUUGUUCUUGGCUAUUUCGGGAAGCACAGGGGCCCCCCCGGCACCGAGACCCCCCGUCCGCCCCCGUGGGUGCUGCUCUUGGUGGCCCUGAGCCCCCCCCGGGAGGUCACUGAGGUUUAGAGCCAUCCCCAAAACGGCAUCGACGGCUCUGAAAACUCCAUGGAGGCGAUUUUCCCCGGGCAGGGAAAAGCAGCAACCCGUGGAUUAACCCCGUGCCUGGAUGAUGCUAAAUUGAGUAAUUGGAGGGGAGAGGGGGGCAGAGCGUCGGGGCGGCCCCGGGGGGGUUCAGCUGCCCUGAGCCAGUGCUUGGACUCGUGCUGUACCUGACACAGCAGGACUAACCUGUUCCCUCUUUUGCACUGGAACAAGAUGAGAUGAACGACCACCAGAACACCUUGUCCUACGUCCUGAUCAACCCCCCCCCGGACACGCGGCUGGAGCUCAAUGACAUCGUGU